This 465-nucleotide ribosomal RNA is filed under the name uncultured bacterium. RNAcentral's name for it is "partial 16S ribosomal RNA". It matches the Rfam family "Bacterial small subunit ribosomal RNA", at positions 338 to 795 of the family's 1533-position model. The record is from RNAcentral.
CCUACGGGCGGCAGCAGUAGGGAAUCUUCCACAAUGGGCGAAAGCCUGAUGGAGCAACGCCGCGUGGGUGAAGAAGGUCUUCGGAUCGUAAAACCCUGUUGUUAGAGAAGAAAGUGCGUGAGAGUAACUGUUCACGUUUCGACGGUAUCUAACCAGAAAGCCACGGCUAACUACGUGCCAGCAGCCGCGGUAAUACGUAGGUGGCAAGCGUUAUCCGGAUUUAUUGGGCGUAAAGGGAACGCUGGCGGUCUUUUAAGUUUGAUGUGAAAGCCUUCGGCUUAACCGGAGUAGUGCAUUGGAAACUGGGAGACGUGAGUGCAGAAGAGGAGAGUGGAACUCCAGGUGUAGCGGUGAAAUGCGUAGAUAUAUGGAAGAACACCAGUGGCGAAAGCGGCUCUCUGGUCUGUAACUGACGCUGAGGUUCGAAAGCGUGGGUAGCAAACAGGAUUAGAUACCCUAGUAGUC